UCCCUGGUGGUCCAGUGGUUAAGACCCUGCACUUUCAAUGCAGAAGGCAUGGGUUCGAUCCCUGAUGAGGGAA
RNAcentral lists this transfer RNA (73 nucleotides) under Bos taurus (domestic cattle). It matches the Rfam family "tRNA". Rfam says of the family: Transfer RNA (tRNA) molecules are approximately 80 nucleotides in length. Their secondary structure includes four short double-helical elements and three loops (D, anti-codon, and T loops). The record is from Rfam by way of RNAcentral. RNAcentral also lists the same sequence under 1 other name. Lineage: Eukaryota; Metazoa; Chordata; Mammalia; Artiodactyla; Bovidae.